CAAAAACAUAGCUAGAUGUAUUAUAUAUUUGGUCUUUUCUGCUCAAUGGUUUACUAAAUAGCCGCAGUACCCUGACUGUGCAAAGGUAGCAUAAUCAUUUGGCUUAUAAUUGAAGUCUGGCAUGAAGGAAUCAAUGGGUAACUACUGUCUUUAAAAAUUCAAAGAAAUUACUUAGUAGGUGAAAAUACCUACUUAUAAACAAUAGACGAGAAGACCCUAGAAAUUUUAUAUAAAGUAAUACAGUAUUACUAACAUUUUGUUGGGGCGACAGAAUAACAUUUAACUUAUUUUAUUUAAUUAGAACUGUAUUUUGAGAUAGCUUAAAUUACUCUAGGGAUAACAGCAUAAUUUAUUAAAGUUUGUGACCUCGAUGUUGGACUAGGGUUUAUAGUAUUUAGAAGACACUAUAAUUGGCUCUGUUCGAGCUUUGUUCCCUACAUGAUCU
This 445-nucleotide ribosomal RNA is filed under the name Xerocrassa barceloi. Its description in RNAcentral is "partial 16S ribosomal RNA". It matches the Rfam family "Bacterial large subunit ribosomal RNA", at positions 1808 to 2606 of the family's 2925-position model. The record is from RNAcentral. Lineage: Eukaryota; Metazoa; Mollusca; Gastropoda; Stylommatophora; Geomitridae.